GCAUCUUCCCUGCUGUGCUCCAUCAGCUUCCAAGAGCAAUAUCCAAGACCAGGGGCUGCCGUGGGGAGCGAGGGUGGCUGCAAACAGACCUCCCGGAACACAGGAGUGAUGCAAAUUGAUUAAGAAGCCGGCAGAGUCGUUGUACAGACUUCUGUGUUAUGUCCGCUUUUGAAAACCUACCGCUCCCCUCCGCCUCUUGGCCUCAGGGUACAGCAAGAAGGCGGCCGUCUGCCGGCAGGAAGAGAGCCUCACCAGAAAGGCUAGCACCCUGGUCUUGGAAUUCCAGCUUCUAAAACUUCAAGGAAAUAAAGGUCUGUUGUUUUACCCACCCAGUCUAUGGGAUUUUGUUACAGCAGUCUGAGCAGACUCAGGCAAGGGGCUAGAUUAGCAUAACAAAUAGCAUGGAGGACAUGGGGAGAUGGAGAGGAGAAGGG
RNAcentral lists this long non-coding RNA (434 nucleotides) under Mustela putorius furo (domestic ferret). Its description in RNAcentral is "lncRNA (ENSMPUG00000023993.1)". Lineage: Eukaryota; Metazoa; Chordata; Mammalia; Carnivora; Mustelidae. The record is from RNAcentral.